GCAGCAGUUAGGUUUCCUAUCUUCUGGGGAUUCAGAUCGCGUUGGUUUUAGACGACGCUCCCAUGUUGUCCACUUCCCGUAAUUUAGCUGCAGUUGAAGACGGUUUUUGGGUUUGUACAAGAAUGCAGUUGUUAAAAGAGUGGGUAUAAAACUAGAUCGGUAUGAACAACAUUGAAAGUUUUUAGAGUUUUUUCAUCAAAAUCUACAGUAAAACGAGGAGAUUCAAACAGGGUUGUGUUGUUCUAGGCUGGUAGUAAUACGAUGAACUGGUGGUAUGUUCGAUGCCCUUUUCAUCACUGCCGACUUUGGUUUUUCGGUUGCCCCUCAUCCCUCCCGGGUCUAUUGAGCACAUAUUCGUGUAAAAAUCCUUUGGAUGCUGUAAUUGAAGGGCGAAAUUGAAGCGUAACGGGUGAUGACUUUCUGGGUUUAAGUUUUUAUGAAGCGGGAAAAGCUUUAUAUUCCGCAAAACACUUACUGUUCUCGUGAAUUAGAGAAAAUAGGCGAAGAACUUCACUUCACGUAUCAAGUCAUUUGUUUUCAAUUUGGAACAUUAAGCCAUUAAGGUAUAAUUCUAUUUAAAUUUUGUGAUUCUUUUUCACUAUUGAUUAAAGUGUUGUUUCUUAAUACCACUAACAUUUGAUUAUUUGUAUCUAAUAUUUUUAUUGCAUCUUUAAUCAGUUUUAUGCUUUACAUUAACAUGAGCACUUUUGGUUUAAAGGUAUAUGUUAAUUAACGCGCACAUCCGCCAUUUGAUAAUUUGAGUUGUAUAGCAACCAAACUGUUCUAUUGUUCUUGAAAAUCAAUGAUUUAUAUGUUUAUUCUACGAUUUUUUUUUUGUUUUAUUCACUGGGUAUCUAUGAAUUCUUCAUUGUUGGGUGUUGUGUUGUUAAUACUUAUUUCUAAGAACUUCCAUCUCGCUUAUAAUAUGUGUUUUUAUGCCCUCAGGCUCUGUUCAUCUUAUAAAGAUAAACCACUAUUCAUCAAUCUACAAAUUUCGGACUAAAAGAACGAAGGUUGGAAGGAGAAGAAUACAUCUCCAUAGUGGACGAAUUGAUGGAAGCCCUUCAUACACGUUGUCCAAAAGCUCUUAUCUAGUUGGAAGAUUUACAAUCCAAGUGGGCUUUUGAGAUUCUUCAAAGAUACAUAAAGAAGUACAGGUCCAUUACUAAAUUUUCACCAAGAUUUGAUCUUUUUUUGUUCUGCAUGUUUUAAUUUGCAAUUGGAAUAAAGGGUACUAUAU
This is a long non-coding RNA of Helianthus annuus (common sunflower), 1240 nucleotides long. RefSeq lists it as uncharacterized. The transcript is spliced from 4 exons. The record is from RefSeq and is a predicted model, not a curated record. Lineage: Eukaryota; Viridiplantae; Streptophyta; Magnoliopsida; Asterales; Asteraceae.